This 303-nucleotide long non-coding RNA is filed under the name Homo sapiens (human). Its description in RNAcentral is "HSALNT0272286". The record is from RNAcentral. Lineage: Eukaryota; Metazoa; Chordata; Mammalia; Primates; Hominidae.
CUUGCUUUGGCCCAUAGAAUAUGUUGGAAACGAUGGUGUGCCAGUUUCAAGCCUAGGUCUUAGGGAAGCCUGCAUGUCUCUGGUCUCUUGGGAUUCUACCAAGACCUAAGAAAAACCUUAGGCUAGCUUGCUGUAGUAUGAGACAUGUGGACAAAUCCUAAUGGUUCCAACUAUCCCAGACAGUCUGUGUUUAGCUAACUCUUCGCCUGAUCACAGAUGCUUGAGCAAUCUCAGUUGGGAGCAGCUAAGCCUCACUAGCUCAGCAGACCUAUUCAGUGAACCCAUAGAUGGACAGGAAGUAGG